RNAcentral lists this ribosomal RNA (494 nucleotides) under Aerococcus urinae. RNAcentral describes it as "bacterial SSU rRNA". It matches the Rfam family "Bacterial small subunit ribosomal RNA", at positions 49 to 525 of the family's 1533-position model. Lineage: Bacteria; Bacillati; Bacillota; Bacilli; Lactobacillales; Aerococcaceae. The record is from RNAcentral.
UAAUACAUGCAAGUCGAGCGAACCGACGAAGUGCUUGCACUUCUGACGUUAGCGGCGGACGGGUGAGUAACACGUAAGGAACCUACCGAUAAGCGGGGGACAACAUCCGGAAACGGGUGCUAAUACCGCAUAGGAAACACCACCUCAUGGUGGUGUUUGGAAAGACGGCUUUGCUGUCACUUAUCGAUGGCCUUGCGGUGCAUUAGCUCGUUGGUGGGGUAACGGCCUACCAAGGCAAUGAUGCAUAGCCGACCUGAGAGGGUAAUCGGCCACAUUGGGACUGAGACACGGCCCAAACUCCUACGGGAGGCAGCAGUAGGGAAUCUUCCGCAAUGGGCGCAAGCCUGACGGAGCAACGCCGCGUGAGUGAAGAAGGUUUUCGGAUCGUAAAGCUCUGUUGUAAGAGAAGAACAAAUUGGAGAGUAACUGCUCCAGUCUUGACGGUAUCUUACCAGAAAGCCACGGCUAACUACGUGCCAGCAGCCGCGGUAAUC